UUGUUGGUAAGGUAAAAGCUUACCAAGGCUUCGAUCAGUAGCUGGUCUGAGAGGACGACCAGCCACACUGGGACUGAGACACGGCCCAGACUCCUACGGGAGGCAGCAGUGGGGAAUUUUGGACAAUGGGGGCAACCCUGAUCCAGCCAUGCCGCGUGAGUGAAGAAGGCCUUCGGGUUGUAAAGCUCUUUCAGCCGGAACGAAACGGUUACGGUUAACACCCGUGACUACUGACGGUACCGGAAGAAGAAGCACCGGCUAACUACGUGCCAGCAGCCGCGGUAAUACGUAGGGUGCGAGCGCUAAUCGGAAUUACUGGGCGUAAAGCGUGCGCAGGUGGUUUUGUAAGUCAGAUGUGAAAGCCCCGGGCUCAACCUGGGAACUGCGUUUGAAGCUACAAGACUAGAGUGUGGCAGAGGGGGGUGGAAUUCCGCGUGUAGCAGUGAAAUGCGUAGAGAUGUGGAGGAACACCGAUGGCGAAGGCAGCCCCCUGGGUCAACACUGACGCUCAGGCACGAAAGCAUGGGGAGCAAACAGGAUUAGAUACCCUGGUAGUCCAUGCCCUAAACGAUGUCAACUAGUUGUCGGGCCUUUACGGGCUCGGUAACGUAGCUAACGCGUGAAGUUGACCGCCUGGGGAGUACGAUCGCAAGAUUAAAACUCAAAUGAAUUGACGGGGACCCGCACAAGCGGUGGAUUAUGUGGAUUAAUUCGAUGCAACGCGAAAAACCUUACCUACCCUUGACAUGUAUCGAAGCCCGCAGAAAAGCGGGGGUGCCCGAAAGGGAACGAUAACACAGGUGCUGCAUGGCUGUCGUCAGCUCGUGUCGUGAGAUGUUGGGUUAAGUCCCGCAACGAGCGCAACCCUUGUCAUUAAUUGCCAUCAUUUAGUUGGGCACUUUAACGAGACUGCCGG
This 916-nucleotide ribosomal RNA is filed under the name uncultured bacterium. RNAcentral's name for it is "bacterial SSU rRNA". It matches the Rfam family "Bacterial small subunit ribosomal RNA", at positions 246 to 1155 of the family's 1533-position model. The record is from RNAcentral.